GCUCGGGUGGUGGAAUGGCAGACACACCAGAUUUAGGUUCUGGCGCCGCAAGGUGUGCGGGUUCGACUCCCGCCCCGAGCACCC
RNAcentral lists this transfer RNA (84 nucleotides) under bacterium. RNAcentral's name for it is "tRNA-Leu". It matches the Rfam family "tRNA". Rfam says of the family: Transfer RNA (tRNA) molecules are approximately 80 nucleotides in length. RNAcentral also lists the same sequence under 1 other name. The record is from RNAcentral.